GAAUGUAGCUUCGAUUUCGAUUGAAGUGUUAUAGCUUCGGCAGAUGUGAUGAUCGGGAUUGAGGAUUGCAACGAAUACCUUCAGGGCUGUUCCCCUGGCCUCUCUUUGGUAUCCUGGUGACGACAGCUUGCUGACGUCGUUAGGAUUCGCCUUGAACAGGCUAGAGUGUGAGCAAAUUCGUUAAGGAUGUUAACGUAAUGGCUUUAAACGA
RNAcentral lists this ribosomal RNA (211 nucleotides) under uncultured Glomeromycotina. Its description in RNAcentral is "partial 28S ribosomal RNA". Lineage: Eukaryota; Fungi; Glomeromycota. The record is from RNAcentral.